GCUUACUGGAAAGUUGAUUUGACCUAAGU
Molecule: small RNA, 29 nt
Filed under: Bombyx mori (domestic silkworm)
Lineage: Eukaryota; Metazoa; Arthropoda; Insecta; Lepidoptera; Bombycidae
Description: ovarian small RNA-17143
Source: RNAcentral